This 89-nucleotide transfer RNA is filed under the name Helianthus annuus (common sunflower). RNAcentral describes it as "tRNA HanXRQr2_Chr03g0105881". The stretch from base 16 to 88 matches the Rfam family "tRNA". From Rfam's summary of the family: Transfer RNA (tRNA) molecules are approximately 80 nucleotides in length. Their secondary structure includes four short double-helical elements and three loops (D, anti-codon, and T loops). Lineage: Eukaryota; Viridiplantae; Streptophyta; Magnoliopsida; Asterales; Asteraceae. The record is from RNAcentral.
CGAGAGGACCACCAAGCACCCGUGGCCUAAUGGAUAAGGCGUCUGACUUCUAAUCAGGCGAUUGUCGGUUCGAGUCCCACCGGGUGUGU